AAUAGGUAGCAGUGUACCAUUUGACCCUUAAAGCAUUUUUGGGGUCAAGCCAGAGUCUUUUUAAAUCAGCAAGAUUAGGGGUAUAAUCUUCCUCAAUUUUAAUGACGUGAAGACCAGGGUCUGAAUUUUGCCUUGGAGGCGCCAUAUUAGACUCUGUGGGACUAGAGGGUUCCUGAAUAGGUUCUUGAAACUGAGAUUUAUAAAAAAC
This 208-nucleotide long non-coding RNA is filed under the name Nicotiana benthamiana. RNAcentral's name for it is "long non-coding RNA (NBEN_LNC040279)". The record is from RNAcentral. Lineage: Eukaryota; Viridiplantae; Streptophyta; Magnoliopsida; Solanales; Solanaceae.